UGGGGAAUAUUGCACAAUGGGGGAAACCCUGAUGCAGCGACGCCGCGUGAGCGAAGAAGUAUUUCGGUAUGUAAAGCUCUAUCAGCAGGGAAGAAAAUGACGGUACCUGACUAAGAAGCCCCGGCUAACUACGUGCCAGCAGCCGCGGUAAUACGUAGGGGGCAAGCGUUAUCCGGAUUUACUGGGUGUAAAGGGCGCGUAGGCGGGGAUACAAGUCAGAUGUGAAAUCUAUGGGCUUAACCCAUAAACUGCAUUUGAAACUGUAUCUCUUGAGUGCCGGAGAGGUAGGCGGAAUUCCUAGUGUAGCGGUGAAAUGCGUAGAUAUUAGGAGGAACACCAGUGGCGAAGGCGGUCUACUGGACGAUAACUGACGCUGAGGCGCGAAAGCGUGGGGAGCAAACAGGAUUAGAUACCCUGGUAGU
RNAcentral lists this ribosomal RNA (422 nucleotides) under uncultured Lachnospiraceae bacterium. RNAcentral describes it as "bacterial SSU rRNA". It matches the Rfam family "Bacterial small subunit ribosomal RNA", at positions 355 to 794 of the family's 1533-position model. The record is from RNAcentral. Lineage: Bacteria; Bacillati; Bacillota; Clostridia; Lachnospirales; Lachnospiraceae.